This 266-nucleotide long non-coding RNA is filed under the name Carica papaya (papaya). Its description in RNAcentral is "long non-coding RNA (CPAP_LNC011321)". The record is from RNAcentral. Lineage: Eukaryota; Viridiplantae; Streptophyta; Magnoliopsida; Brassicales; Caricaceae.
UGAGAUCGGUUGAUGAUGCCGAUGAUCAUCAGAAUGGACCCCACCACUCCUCUGAAUUGAUUAUCAAAUGGAGGUUGUAGCUGUGGACUGAUGGUGUUUACCGCACUUGAUUGGGACUCUAGAGAAUAUAUUUGGUAUAAAUGAAAGGGUAAGGAUGACAGUGUUGCUUUCCUUUUCAUUGAUUAGAGCAAGUCCCCUACUCCAUCCACUUUGAACAAAAUCAUGCUCAGAUCCACCUACCAAAUGCUAUACAUAUUGUGUGCAUA